GGACUUGCCCAGUUACCAAGAAACACUCAAGAGGACAGAGUAGAGACGGCAUCUUGGGAUUGCAUCCUGCUCUGUCAUGUGGCUGACUGAUCCUUGGCAAGAUAUACAACCUAAGUCCGCGGUUCCUGAUUUCAGAGUCCACUGAAGUUUACACCAGGUUGCUGUCUCACUAAUUCACACUAAAGGGAUCCUCAGGACCUUCCAAGUCGGAGCCUGGAUUUCGCCCUGGACUCCAGAUUCCGAGGAACAGGACCUCCGGCGGGACUUCGGAUCUCCAGAUCCCUUAGGAGAUUCCCGAUCUUGAGAUCCCUGGAUCCGUCACCUCUUGCUCCUGC
This is a long non-coding RNA of Molossus molossus (Pallas's mastiff bat), 335 nucleotides long. RefSeq lists it as uncharacterized. NCBI's taxonomy places the organism in Eukaryota, Metazoa, Chordata, Mammalia, Chiroptera, Molossidae. The transcript is spliced from 3 exons. The record is from RefSeq and is a predicted model, not a curated record.